Non-coding RNA from Myodes glareolus (Bank vole), 74 nucleotides. The record is from the annotation of a RefSeq genome assembly. NCBI's taxonomy places the organism in Eukaryota, Metazoa, Chordata, Mammalia, Rodentia, Cricetidae.
GGCACCAUAGCUUAGCUGGUCAAAGCACCUGUUUUGUAAACAGGAGAUCCUGGGUGCGAUUCCCAGAGGUGCCU